This 253-nucleotide ribosomal RNA is filed under the name uncultured bacterium. RNAcentral's name for it is "partial 16S ribosomal RNA". It matches the Rfam family "Bacterial small subunit ribosomal RNA", at positions 524 to 776 of the family's 1533-position model. The record is from RNAcentral.
UACGUAGGGUGCAAGCGUUAAUCGGAAUUACUGGGCGUAAAGCGUGCGCAGGCGGUUUUGUAAGUCAGAUGUGAAAUCCCCGGGCUUAACCUGGGAGCUGCGUUUGAAACUACAAGGCUAGAGUGUGGCAGAGGGGGGUGGAAUUCCACGUGUAGCAGUGAAAUGCGUAGAGAUGUGGAGGAACACCGAUGGCGAAGGCAGCCCCCUGGGUUAACACUGACGCUCAGGCACGAAAGCGUGGGGAGCAAACAGG